Dama dama (fallow deer) is the source of this 875-nucleotide long non-coding RNA. RefSeq lists it as uncharacterized. The transcript has 4 exons. The record is from RefSeq and is a predicted model, not a curated record. Lineage: Eukaryota; Metazoa; Chordata; Mammalia; Artiodactyla; Cervidae.
AGCAGGCUCAGCCCUGCCAUUCCUCUGACGGACACGCUUCCAAGUCCGAAGAAGCACCUCGCACCUCAUCCUGCCCUUAGGUGGGAGGGUCAACUGCUGGACAGUCGUCAGGAAACGAUCGUCCAUUUCUCAGGAGGAACCCUCUGGUCUCCUGUAGAGGUAAUCACCUGGCUGUAGGUGGGACAGCACACCUGAGUCUCACUGGCUGGCUGUUGACUUCAAUAAGCCCUGUUUCUGGGUCUGUACUUCAUCUCUACCUUCACUCGUGAUCCUGAGCCUUUCUGAGCUCUGCCUGCAAAUUGAUAUAUCUGACCUCAGUCAUGUCUGCUGGGAUGAGAAUCAGCAGGUUCUAUUGGGGCAGAAUAAUCCUGGAUGCAUCAGAAGGGAUCAGAGAGAUAACAUUGGAGGAGUUGGGUUUUCUGCUUGAGAAAGUGCUGUGAAAAAGUACCUGUCUGCUCAUGACCACGUCUUUUGUCAAUAAGAGCUCCAAUACUUUGGCCACCUGAUGCAAAGAGCCGAUUCAUUGGAGAAGACCCUGAUGCUGGGAAAGAUUGAAGGCAGGAGGAGAAGGGGACGACAGAGGUUGAGAUGGUUGGAGGGCAUCACCGACUCCACGGAUGUGAGUUUGAGCAAACUCCAGGAGGUGGUGAGGGACAGGGAAGCCUGGUGUGCAGCAGUCCAUGGGGUCGCAAAGAGUUGGACACGACUGAGCUACUGAACAACAACAAUACCAGUGCCGCAAUUUGGAAUACAAACUAGAAAUAAAAAAGCACACAUUUAUAACAAUGAAAAUUCUUCAAAAUGAAUGCUUCUGUGUUGACAUGUUGAUGCAGUCAGUAUUGCCACAGAUAAAUAAAACCAGUUGAUGACUGAAA